UGCUUAAUACAUGCAAGUCGUGCGAGAAAGUACCCUUCGGGGUGCGAGUAGAGCGACGGACGGGUGAGUAACACGUAAGCAACCUGCCUCUAAAUCUGGGAUAACCUUGCUAACGCGGGGCUAAUACCGGAUGUGAUCCAUAAAUCACAUGGUUAUUGGAUUAAAGGUGACCUCUUCUUGAAAGUUACUGUUUAGAGAUGGGCUUGCGGACCAUUAGCUUGUUGGUAGGGUAACGGCCUACCAAGGCUGCGAUGGUUAGCCGACCUGAGAGGGUGAUCGGCCACAUUGGGACUGAGAUACGGCCCAGACUCCUACGGGAGGCAGCAGUAGGGAAUUUUGCGCAAUGGACGAAAGUCUGACGCAGCAACUCCGCGUGAGGGAUGAAGGCCUUCGGGUUGUAAACCUCUGUUGAGUGGGAAGAAAAAGCCUUAUACUAAUAUUAUAAGGCCAUGACGGUACCAUUCGAGGAAGCACCGGCUAACUACGUGCCAGCAGCCGCGGUAAUACGUAGGGUGCUAGCGUUGUUCGGAAUUACUGGGCGUAAAGAGAGCGUAGGCGGAAAGGUAAGUUAGAAGUGAAAUGCAUCGGCUCAACCGGUGACCUGCUUUUAAAACUGCUUUUCUUGAGUAUUGGAGAGGAUGAUGGAAUUCCAGGUGUAGCGGUGGAAUGCGUAGAUAUCUGGAAGAACACCAGUUGCGAAGGCGGUCAUCUGGCCAAAUACUGACGCUGAGGCUCGAAAGCUAGGGGAGCGAACAGGAUUAGAUACCCUGGUAGUCCUAGCCGUAAACGAUGGACACUAGAUGCCGGAAGUGUUAUGCUUUCGGUGUCGAAGCUAACGCAUUAAGUGUCCCGCCUGGGGAGUACGCUCGCAAGGGUGAAACUCAAAGGAAUUGACGGGGGCCCGCACAAGCGGUGGAGCAUGUGCUUUAAUUCGAUGCAACGCGAAGAACCUUACCUGGUCUUGACAUGGGAGUGAAACUAUCCAGAGAUGGAAAGCUUUCCUUCGGGAACACUCUACACAGGUGCUGCAUGGUUGUCGUCAGCUCGUGUCGUGAGAUGUUGGGUUAAGUCCCGCAACGAGCGCAACCCCUGUCCUUAGUUGCCAGCACGUCAUGGUGGGAACUCUAGGGAGACUGCCUGGAUUAACCAGGAGGAAGGUGGGGAUGACGUCAAAUCCUCAUGGCCCUUACGACCAGGGCUA
RNAcentral lists this ribosomal RNA (1201 nucleotides) under uncultured Chitinivibrionia bacterium. RNAcentral's name for it is "bacterial SSU rRNA". It matches the Rfam family "Bacterial small subunit ribosomal RNA", at positions 45 to 1216 of the family's 1533-position model. The record is from RNAcentral. Lineage: Bacteria; Pseudomonadati; Fibrobacterota; Chitinivibrionia.